GGAUUGUGGCUCAGCGGUAUAGCGCUCUCCUAGCAUGUGUGAGGCCCUGGAUUCGAUUCUCAGCACCA
RNAcentral lists this transfer RNA (68 nucleotides) under Marmota monax (woodchuck). RNAcentral's name for it is "tRNA.Ala". Lineage: Eukaryota; Metazoa; Chordata; Mammalia; Rodentia; Sciuridae. The record is from RNAcentral.